UGGAACACCAGCGUUGAUGGUCAUGGU
This 27-nucleotide small RNA is filed under the name Bombyx mori (domestic silkworm). RNAcentral describes it as "ovarian small RNA-535". Lineage: Eukaryota; Metazoa; Arthropoda; Insecta; Lepidoptera; Bombycidae. The record is from RNAcentral.